This 192-nucleotide ribosomal RNA is filed under the name uncultured bacterium. Its description in RNAcentral is "partial 16S ribosomal RNA". It matches the Rfam family "Bacterial small subunit ribosomal RNA", at positions 335 to 524 of the family's 1533-position model. The record is from RNAcentral.
ACUCCUACGGGAGGCAGCAGUAAGGAAUAUUGGACAAUGCCCGCAAGGGUGAUCCAGCCAUGCCGCGUGCAGGAAGACGGCCCUAUGGGUUGUAAACUGCUUUUACAUCGGAGAAAACCCCAGUACGUGUACUGGGCUGAUAGUAUGGUGAGAAUAAGCAUCGGCUAACUUCGUGCCAGCAGCCGCGGUAAU